UUAAGAGACAGUAUAUUCUUUUUACAUCUUUGCUGUCAAAGAAAUGAAGAAGAAUACUUGACGCUUAAAAGUGUUUAACAAAAGGUAAAAUGCGUAUCAUGAAGAAUUAUACUAAUUUUCUUCAUCAUUCACAUGCCACCCAUAAUCACGCAUGCACUUAAUACAAAUCUAACUACAGGCAUUGAAAGCAUUGAAAGCAUUUGAAGCAUUGAAACCAUUGCAAAAAUCAAAAGCAGCUUAAAAUUGUUUUACCUACGAAUUUCAAAACCCCCUCUAUGUUCUACCUAAUACAGAACUCUCGUGAGUUCUAACUACCAUAUAUUUAAACGUAAUAAAGGGACAGGGAGAAUGAGUAUUUUAUGAAAUUUUAUUUUAUGAUAUCUUCAGUGUUGUGCAUUGUGAAAUUCUUCUUUAUACAUGUAUCUGUCCUAUGUAUCAGAGACGUGAACAGGAUCUUUAUAGAUCCUAACUAUCACUAGUCUUGGUAUCUUUUUAAAUCCUAUUUGUGAGAAAUUUGAAGGCUUCUUUAUUAGCCAUAUCGGUCAGGAUUCAGAAGAUUCUUUUAUAAGUCAUGACCAGAAAAUUUGAAAGGUCUAUCUAUGGGGGUCUGAUAUAAAGAAGAUCUAUUUAUCACAAAGGGAUGGAAUGGAAAAUUGUAUUUCUCAUUGUGUAGGGCAAGCGAGGGACGUAAAUGUCAUUCCGUCGAUUUCACAAUAUCCUGAAACAAACUUAAACCAUACAAAAAUUAGUACAAUUCUAUAAAUAUAUAUAGUUAGAUACCAAUAGAAGGGACUCAAAUAUGACUUCUUCAUACGUGUUACUUCUCCUUAAAUCAUUUUUUUUAAAUCUAUACUAUUCCACUUUCCAGUCGUUCGUUCAUAGGCAUUUGAGAGGUCGUUAAAAUUCCAUAUGCAUAAUUUAUACUUCCUACAAGUUAAUCAAUCUGGAACAUACUCAUUUAUUGGAUUAGUACAUU
Long non-coding RNA from Bombus impatiens (common eastern bumble bee), 976 nucleotides. RefSeq lists it as uncharacterized. The record is from RefSeq and is a predicted model, not a curated record. Lineage: Eukaryota; Metazoa; Arthropoda; Insecta; Hymenoptera; Apidae. The transcript is spliced from 2 exons.